RNAcentral lists this long non-coding RNA (1459 nucleotides) under Mus musculus (house mouse). RNAcentral describes it as "long non-coding RNA chr19:55931768-55933227". The record is from RNAcentral. Lineage: Eukaryota; Metazoa; Chordata; Mammalia; Rodentia; Muridae.
AACCAUCAACUUCUUCCUUACAUUCCCACAACUCGCUGGCUGGAACGCAACCCCAGCCUCUGUCUCUGGUGACCAAGUCUUUAGAAUAGCUCCGCCUCCUCGUCCUCCAUGCCCCUGCUUGAUUGAAGUGUUUCCUUCUGGUUCUUGGUUCGCCCUUCCCCGCUUGGAAAGCUUUUGUUUUGUACUCUUUAAUUUUGUGCCGCCGUGGCUACAUGAGUUAAUGUUUAUGGAGUUCAUUGGUCAAUAUUUGACCCAUUCUUAUUUCAAUUUCUCCUUUUAAAUAUGUAGAUGAGAAAAACCUCAUGAUUCUACCAAAAUUUUUAUCAACAGCUGUUUAAAGUCUUUGUAGCGUUUAAAAAAUAUAUUAUAUAUACAUAACUGUUAUGUAGUUCGGAUAGCUUAGUUUUAAAAGACUGAUUUAAAAAACAAAAAGAAAAAAAAGAGAGAGAAGCAAUUUUGAAGCACCCUCCAGAAGGAGUUGGUUCUGUGUUAUUUGUAUUAAAUACGAGCUUGCGAACCAAUCACUUUACACCUUGGUAUUUAAACCACGAGGGCACAAGGAAUGCAGUGCCGUUUCUUUCUUUCUUUUUUUCUUUCUUUUUUUUUUCCUCCCAGUGUGAAACAACUUUUACCUUGAUGUUACUUGUUAUUGUUUAAAUGUACAGAAACAAAGGGUUAAAAUGUGUUAAUAUACCUUGUUCCAUGGUGUUGUUCUUUUGGGGGGGAGGGGACACCACUCAACAAUGAAUGGAAUCAACACUGUUGGACCAGUAGUAUUUAUUGCUUUAGAGGUUGCUUGCUGUACCUGUAUGUCCGUCCAAUUUUAAAUAUGUUUUCCCUUUUUUUUGAAACUGUGUAAAGUCCCCCCCAACCUUAGCGUAAGCAUCUUAUAUAUAACAACUCAUUUGUACAAGGUUUUUAAGUUUAUAUAUAAAAUGUGUAUAUAUUUUUUUGUUUCCUUUUUUUUUUUUUUUUGGCGUACGUUCGUUCGUUCGUUUGUUUGUUUCUGUAUAAAACCCAGAUGCCACCAAAUGGACAUUGACAUUCGCAUUAAGGAUCAGUAGCAUUAACAAAACUUGCUUUAAAAGCCAUUCUGUAAAACAAGACUUGAACAUUAGCGAGAGGGUCUGAGCAGCCGUCUGAGCAGCCGUGGGAACUGCCCCGUUUCCCCCUUGACCUCCUAGUCAACUGCCCUGUGCUCUUAGAACAUGGACUGACCGUGUGCAAAACUUUUAUGUGCCAAAAUUCUCAGUGACUUUAGCUUUCUCCCUCCUUUUUGAUGCUGUACUUUCUGUUCGCCAUGUUUUGCUGUGAUGUUACAUAGAUAGAUUUGUAUGUAGUUUUAAUGUCACCUAUAACAAAAUGUGUUUGGUAGCAGACUGUCCAGAAAGCAUUUUAAAUGAAGAGGUCUAAACCCUUAAGGGCCAAAAAAAAUCCUGUAUAUUAGAUUACUCUUAAA